RNAcentral lists this ribosomal RNA (497 nucleotides) under uncultured bacterium. RNAcentral describes it as "partial 16S ribosomal RNA". It matches the Rfam family "Bacterial small subunit ribosomal RNA", at positions 28 to 507 of the family's 1533-position model. The record is from RNAcentral.
GAUGAACGCUGGCGGCGUGCCUAAUACAUGCAAGUCGAGCGAACAGACGAGGAGCUUGCUCCUCUGACGUUAGCGGCGGACGGGUGAGUAACACGUGGAUAACCUACCUAUAAGACUGGGAUAACUUCGGGAAACCGGAGCUGAUACCGGAUAAUAUAUUGAACCGCAUGGUUCAAUAGUGAAAGACGGUUUUGCUGUCACUUAUAGAUGGAUCCGCGCCGCAUUAGCUAGUUGGUAAGGUAACGGCUUACCAAGGCAACGAUGCGUAGCCGACCUGAGAGGGUGAUCGGCCACACUGGAACUGAGACACGGUCCAGACUCCUACGGGAGGCAGCAGUAGGGAAUCUUCCGCAAUGGGCGAAAGCCUGACGGAGCGACGCCGCGUGAGUGAUGAAGGUCUUCGGAUCGUAAAACUCUGUUAUUAGGGAAGAACAAAUGUGUAAGUAACUAUGCACGUCUUGACGGUACCUAAUCAGAAAGCCACGGCUAACUACGUG